GCCUCGGCGUGACCGAGGGAGAAGGAGAAGGAUGAGGAGAAGGAGAAGGAUGAGAAGGAUGAGGAGAAGGAGAAGAAGAAGGAGAAGGAGGCCAGCUACUAGCAAGAAGAAUCCGUCGAGCGAUUAUGGGGUGCCAGUUACUGGAGCAAGUGGAACAUCAGCUGCUGACGUGCUGAUAAAUGUUUGUGUGUGUGUGUCUGACCCAGGAAGGACACACAUCAGAAGGUCAGAUGUCAAUAAUAAAUGUUUCCCAUUACAACAGCAGGUUAUAUGACCCAGAAGCCCUAAAUUACACAAUGUGUAAAAACUAUCACUUUGAAACAACCUCUGAAAACCUUCAAGCUAGCAACGAGGUCAACAUAAUUAGCAUCAAGCAUAUAGAAAUUGAAUUUAACUAUGGCCAUAUGGUUAAUAAAUUUGAGCAUGGAACUGAAGGGGAAUAAAGAUUCAAGGAACUGACGUAGUUUGACCCCAACUCUACAUUCAUCCACUGUGUCAACUAGAAUAGCAGAUUUACAUUCUGCAUGGUGUGAAUGCAUCUUCAUGCAUGAUGCAGUCUUUAAAUCUGCUGAACUUACUCUGGCAUUGUGAUGCUGAUGUGUGACAUGUAAUUCAAAGUUGAUGGAAUCUGGCUGAAUGUAACAUUGGGCUGAAGCUCCGUGAAAGAAAUAUGGGAAUCGCAUGUUCCUGCACAUACACAACUGUGUGGAAGCAUCCAUAAAUGCAUGCAUGCUAUACGGUUGUAAUACCAGUACAGGCAGGUAUGCAAGAAGGUUUAUUUCUGCACAGAGCACAAACAUCGACGAGCAGGCAUGCACAGAAACACGUAGCAUUUACAUUAUGCACCGGGGCCAUAAGCCUGAUAUUUUUUACUCUGCUGAAGCUGCUGAAUGACAGUAAAGCUCUGCUUAAUACCCCACAACAGAACGCUGCACCAUUUAAAAGACUCUGAAUUGAUCACUAAGCAUGCAACAUUGGCUUAAAAGGCCUGAUUUUAUUAUUACUAAGGCAACCUUCUACCAGACUGACUAAGACUGUGUCCAUUAUCAUUCAAAUGAGAGGGGAAGUAAACAAAUUGGUAGUGAAAGCGAGCGCUGUUAGUUGUUUGGUGAUCUAAACUGGCUCUAAGCAUCAGUGUGGACGAUGCUGCUUCCUUUACUUUUACUGUGAAGUACGCCUAUAAUAACUAGCAGAAUUACAAAUAACCAUGCUAGUGAGGAAGUUAUUGAACAGCACUAAAGGCAGGGAGCCUCAAAGACAUGUUCAUAUUAUCAAUCAGCAAUAUGAGCAUUAGUGUUUCUGCUCAAUAGCUUGUACAAUUUGUGUGUUGUGGUGAUAAAGGAGUGGGUCAGACCUUCAUAUAUCUUGAUAAGUGCAUUGAAAAAAUUGUCCUUGCCAUCUGUCCUUGCCAUCUGUCCCAUCCCUUAAUGCUACCAAAAUAACUGCCAUAGAGGUUGCAUUUUUUAGAAAUCACACAUGCAAACACCACUUUUCACUGGUGAACAGCAACAACACAAGUUAUGUAAAAUGCAGAAAAAUGUUUUUUCUGCAUAGUUGUGUGGUUACUGGAGCGAAAGCACUGAAAAAGCUUUUCAAACUGAAUCUGCAGCAUGGUGAAUGGCCAGUGUUUCAAUAUGCUGUUGAAGCUGUGGCCUUGGUGGGUCUAUGCAGAGCCCACACAGAGUGAGAGAAUGGUCCUUCCUCCAGGUUUUCUAUAUACAUUGUUAGAGGGCGUACAACAUGAGUAAUGUUCUCUUUUGUUGAGCCAAACCUAUAAACAUUUGUCCUUGCUCUACUUAUAAGAUUGUCCUAUUAUCCGGUAUUACUGUCUCUUCAUCGACUCUAAAUUAUAUUGUUCGCUCUUCCUCGUCACCUGUUAUUAUCAUAUUUCAUUCCUCUACCUUUAAUUUCCUCUACAUUUUAUAUCCCUUCUCUCUGUCUUUUCAUUUUCUCUGUUCUUUCUCUCUCCCUGUCUCUCAGGGGACAGGAGCGCUGUGCACGAUUGUCAUGGCAACAACGAUGGGAAGACAAGAUGGAGGAGUCAUAGCUGGCCUGGCCUCCUUUACAGUGGAAGAGAUCCUGUUUGUGAGAACACCAGAUGUUGUCUUUAAAAUUUUAUUGGAAAAGAAAAAUGUUCUUGACUAGGAAAGCUUAAGGUAAUAAUAUAUAUUUUUAACAGGUAGAUAUUCACACAUGCAACUGCUUAGAGUGCAAGUGCGCUGCAAAAUCACUAAAUGAUAAAAAUGGAUCCUGCACAUCACACUUGCUUAACACAUUUUGGUCCACUGCACAUUUGUCAGGUGAUGGUUAAGUGAGGCUAAGCAAGAAAAGUAUAUAUUUUAAUAAAUAUAUAUUUCCAAAUCUUAGACUGGCGUGUAGGCAACCUAUUCUACCUUUUGACUUUUUCCAUUGCACAAAUUACACGUUGCCAUUCUCCCCUCUUCUAGUUGUUGGACAAUCACAGAAUUGAAACUAGAGAGACCGUUUGUUGAGCAAUCCAAAAAAACAAAAUGUGGCUCUGUUCAUUUUGGCUCACUGUUCUGCCAUUGCAAGGAGCAUAAAGGUAAUGGCAAAAUGCACUACAGCCUUCUGCAAAUGCUCUGUGACAAAACACAUUUGAAUUUUUACUUGUGU
This is a long non-coding RNA of Siniperca chuatsi (mandarin fish), 2634 nucleotides long. RefSeq lists it as uncharacterized. The transcript is spliced from 2 exons. Lineage: Eukaryota; Metazoa; Chordata; Actinopteri; Centrarchiformes; Sinipercidae. The record is from RefSeq and is a predicted model, not a curated record.